Molecule: ribosomal RNA, 253 nt
Filed under: uncultured bacterium
Lineage: Bacteria
Description: partial 16S ribosomal RNA
Rfam family: Bacterial small subunit ribosomal RNA
Source: RNAcentral
UACGGAGGGUGCAAGCGUUAUCCGGAUUCACUGGGUUUAAAGGGUGCGUAGGUGGGUUGGUAAGUCAGUGGUGAAAUCUCCGAGCUUAACUUGGAAACUGCCAUUGAUACUAUCAAUCUUGAAUAUUGUGGAGGUCAGCGGAAUAUGUCAUGUAGCGGUGAAAUGCUUAGAGAUGACAUAGAACACCAAUUGCGAAGGCAGCUGGCUACACGAAUAUUGACACUCAGGCACGAAAGCGUGGGGAUCAAACAGG